ACAACUUUCAACAACGGAUCUCUUGGCUCUCGCACCGAUGAAGAACGCAGCGAAAUGCGAUAAGUAAUGUGAAUUGCAGAAUUCAGUGAAUCAUCGAAUCUUUGAACGCACCUUGCACCCUUUG
RNAcentral lists this ribosomal RNA (124 nucleotides) under uncultured Sebacinales. RNAcentral's name for it is "partial 5.8S ribosomal RNA". It matches the Rfam family "5.8S ribosomal RNA", at positions 1 to 122 of the family's 154-position model. From Rfam's summary of the family: 5.8S ribosomal RNA (5.8S rRNA) is a component of the large subunit of the eukaryotic ribosome. Lineage: Eukaryota; Fungi; Basidiomycota; Agaricomycetes; Sebacinales. The record is from RNAcentral.